RNAcentral lists this transfer RNA (109 nucleotides) under Danio rerio (zebrafish). It matches the Rfam family "tRNA". From Rfam's summary of the family: Transfer RNA (tRNA) molecules are approximately 80 nucleotides in length. The record is from Rfam by way of RNAcentral. Lineage: Eukaryota; Metazoa; Chordata; Actinopteri; Cypriniformes; Danionidae.
GUCAGCAUGGCCGAGUGGUCUAAGGCGCCAGACUCAAGGUUAAACCUUCUCACUUGAUGAGGCGUCUGGUCUCCGAAUGGAGGCGUGGGUUCAAAUCCCACUUCUGACA